AUUUGGUGCUGAGGGCAUCUAAUACACAAUUUCUUAAAUCUCUCCCAAUAGUCAUGAGUGACUCCCCUGGAUGCUGUGUAAUGCCGCAUAUUUCCUUUCUCAAAUU
Coffea eugenioides is the source of this 106-nucleotide small nucleolar RNA. The record is from RefSeq and is a predicted model, not a curated record. Lineage: Eukaryota; Viridiplantae; Streptophyta; Magnoliopsida; Gentianales; Rubiaceae.